This 120-nucleotide small RNA is filed under the name Pseudomonas sp. 8AS. Lineage: Bacteria; Pseudomonadati; Pseudomonadota; Gammaproteobacteria; Pseudomonadales; Pseudomonadaceae. The record is from RNAcentral.
AAGGACGACGCGCAGGAAGCGCAGCAAAACAACACGGAUUCGUAGGAUUGCUUGCCAGGAUGGCGAGUCGACCAGGGAAGUCAGGAACCAAUCUGCAGAACCCCGCGCUAGCGGGGUUUU